UACGGAGGGUGCAAGCGUUAUCCGGAUUCACUGGGUUUAAAGGGUGCGUAGGUGGGAAUGUAAGUCAGUGGUGAAAUCUCCGUGCUUAACAUGGAAACUGCCAUUGAUACUAUGUUUCUUGAAUCUUCCGGAGGUCAGCGGAAUAUGUCAUGUAGCGGUGAAAUGCUUAGAUAUGACAUAGAACACCAAUUGCGAAGGCAGCUGACUACAGGAGCAUUGACACUGAGGCACGAAAGCGUGGGGAUCAAACAGG
RNAcentral lists this ribosomal RNA (253 nucleotides) under uncultured bacterium. Its description in RNAcentral is "partial 16S ribosomal RNA". It matches the Rfam family "Bacterial small subunit ribosomal RNA", at positions 524 to 776 of the family's 1533-position model. The record is from RNAcentral.